CUAGCCAAAGAGGAAUUACCUCCUCCUUAAUGA
Molecule: transfer RNA, 33 nt
Filed under: Spatula querquedula (garganey)
Lineage: Eukaryota; Metazoa; Chordata; Aves; Anseriformes; Anatidae
Description: Anas querquedula (garganey) partial tRNA-Lys
Source: RNAcentral